AAAUUUUAAAGGAAUUUCCAUUUGUAGGUGGAACAAGACCAACUGACUGAGAGGGAAGCACCCUGACUGUUUCAGUAUGGACACUCUUGAGGACUUGUUUGUAAUUGUGUGUUGUGUCCCGGCAAGUGAGUGUCUCUUUUGGGUACCAGACAGUGGGAUCAGCUCCUCUCAAUUUGGGAAAUUCUUUAUGGAAUUUCCAUUUGCAGGUCGAUCAAGCCCAACCAGUAGAGAAAGGGUGCACUCUGGCUGUUUCAGUUUGGACACUAGGGGCUUGUUUGUUGCUGCAGCAGUUGGAUAGUGUUUUGGUGAUUGUGUGUGUUUGAUAUAGUCAUGGGAAAUCAGAAUUUAGCCAACUUGAUAUUCUUUUGCAAUACUAUUUGGCCCCAAUCUUGUUUGGAAUCUGGACUUUGCUGCUGAAUGGAAAAGUGGGAUGGAGUUGCAUGGAUCCAGGCUUUUGUGCUGCUGUUCUAAGCAGAGUUGGGCCUGGUUAAUAUGUGAUGUUUUCCUUCGGUGCUGUUUAGCCCCAGUGUUCUUUGGAGUCCGGGGAAGUUUGGCCUUUAAAAAUCAAACUGCCAUGGACACUGCUUUACCCAAAAUUUUGGUUCACAUUCUUCACUGGAUUAACUAUUGGGGCAAACAACGUAUAACCAUGUAAAACCAGUACGCUUGUAUUGGCAUUUCAUGGCUAGAGUUCUAAGUCACAAGCACCUCUUCGGCAAAGCCCACCUCCCUCUCUCGCUUGAUUCCCCGGCCAUCCUUAUCAAAGACCUUCCAGGUGAACAGGCAGCCAUCCUCAGCAGCAGUCAGCAGGAACUGAUCAUCAAAGAAACUUGCAAAAAUAGCACAGAGAGAGUGGACUUCUGGAAUGGCACGUGAUUUCCUGAAGGAAAUAUAAUGAUCUGUUCAUCGAAGUAGAAGAUAUUG
This 924-nucleotide long non-coding RNA is filed under the name Homo sapiens (human). RNAcentral's name for it is "HSALNT0291815". Lineage: Eukaryota; Metazoa; Chordata; Mammalia; Primates; Hominidae. The record is from RNAcentral.